RNAcentral lists this ribosomal RNA (412 nucleotides) under Leptopilina boulardi. Its description in RNAcentral is "eukaryotic LSU rRNA". Lineage: Eukaryota; Metazoa; Arthropoda; Insecta; Hymenoptera; Figitidae. The record is from RNAcentral.
UAANCCUGAGAAACCCAAAAGAUCGAAUGGGGAGAUUCAUCGUCAGCGGCACUGGCUUUCGUGUGGUUCUCUCGUCACUGUUCGGGACUUCGGUCUCGCAACGUGCGAAACUAUUGCGAUAUGUUGGGCUGUCGGCGUGCACUUCUCCCCUAGUAGAACGUCGCAACCCGUUGGGUGUCAGUUUACGGUCUGGGUGGUAGACUGUUUUGUCACAUUAACCUGUGUAUAAAGCAGACCCCUAGUUAUAAACCGACUGACUGCCCGACGGUACUCGAAAAUGGUAUUGAGUCGCAUCUUAUUUGAAUGCGUCAGGCACACUGCAAGUGAGAAUAGUGUUUCUUGGUGGUGCGGACCUAGUGCCGUCCCCGAGCCUGUUCAGCUGUUGGUCGGUGUUGCUCUCUGACCGGCUCAA